UGGACAGAUUAUUGUAUUCGACUGUAUUCACGGCGUGAAAUAAGGGAUUACACUGUUUUUAAACGGAAAGUGAAUCAAUUAACAUAAUAGACUCUU
RNAcentral lists this microRNA precursor (96 nucleotides) under Nicotiana sylvestris (wood tobacco). RNAcentral describes it as "MIR6152 microRNA precursor family". It matches the Rfam family "MIR6152 microRNA precursor family". Lineage: Eukaryota; Viridiplantae; Streptophyta; Magnoliopsida; Solanales; Solanaceae. The record is from Rfam by way of RNAcentral.